RNAcentral lists this unclassified non-coding RNA (573 nucleotides) under Hevea brasiliensis (rubber tree). The record is from RNAcentral. Lineage: Eukaryota; Viridiplantae; Streptophyta; Magnoliopsida; Malpighiales; Euphorbiaceae.
CUUCUUCCAAAAGAAAAACGCCGUCGCUAUAUUUGCAUCUCUCAGCUGGUAAAGAUCUCACUCUCUCGAGUCUAAAGACGAUAUGAGCGUGAUGGGAAGUUCCGUCCAACGCUUUCCAGUCCCCUUCAAGAACCUUUCGCUAGAUAUCAAGGGGAACAAAACAGACAUAGUCAUUUGCAGUUAUGAUGACCAUAUUUUUGUGAUUGCUACCCAAAUAGGAACAAUGGGGACGAUACUGCAUGCCAGGAAGGAGGAAGGGGUGUCGGUUCAUCCCACUUUCAGUGUAUCUGUAAUAUUUGGCAAACGAGAUGAGGGAAUGCUAGUGGCAUGUGCUCGACAACUGAUUGAACACAUAAGUAGCUCGGGUUCCUCCAGGCCAUUGGUGCUGUCUAUUGGUCUUAAAGACCAUUCCAUGGAGACGCUUAAAGGAAUUGUUUCUGCCGUAGUUGAAAAUCGAAUGUGGUAACAAAUUACCCUUGGAUUUCAACCUCAGCAUUUCCCCCUGCCGAUUUGUUUUGAGAUUUUUCAUGGAUACAAUCUUGGAACAUUUAUGGAGGCUUAUUAAUUAUCAUA